AUUGAACGCUGGCGGCGUGCUUAACACAUGCAAGUCGAGCGGCAGCGCGGGAGCAAUCCUGGCGGCGAGCGGCGAACGGGUGAGUAAUGCUUCGGAAUCUGCCCUUCAGUGGGGAAUAACCAGUCGAAAGACUGGCUAAUACCGCAUACGAACUGAGGUUGAAAGCAGGGGAUCGCAAGACCUUGCGCUGAUGGAUGAGCCGAAGUCGGAUUAGCUUGUUGGUGGGGUAAUGGCCUACCAAGGCGACGAUCCGUAGCUGGUCUGAGAGGACGACCAGCCACACUGGGACUGAGACACGGCCCAGACUCCUACGGGAGGCAGCAGUGGGGAAUAUUGGACAAUGGGGGCAACCCUGAUCCAGCGACGCCGCGUGUGUGAAGAAGGCCUGCGGGUUGUAAAGCACUUUUGUCAGGGGAGAAACGCUCCGGGCUAAAUACCUCGGGGUAAUGACGGUACCUGAAGAAUAAGCACCGGCUAACUACGUGCCAGCAGCCGCGGUAAU
This 502-nucleotide ribosomal RNA is filed under the name uncultured bacterium. Its description in RNAcentral is "bacterial SSU rRNA". It matches the Rfam family "Bacterial small subunit ribosomal RNA", at positions 29 to 524 of the family's 1533-position model. The record is from RNAcentral.